UGGGGAAUAUUGGACAAUGGGGGCAACCCUGAUCCAGCGAUGCCGCGUGUGCGAAGAAGGCCUGCGGGUUGUAAAGCACUUUGGUUGGGGAAGAAGGUUGGGCGUUGAAUAGAUGCCUGAAUUGACGUUACCCAAAGAACAAGCACCGGCUAACUCUGUGCCAGCAGCCGCGGUAAUACGUAGGGACCAAGCGUUGUUCGGAUUUACUGGGCGUAAAGGGCGCGUAGGCGGCAAUUCAAGUCAUCUGUGAAAUCUCCGGGCUUAACUCGGAACGGUCAGAUGAUACUGCUUUGCUAGAGUGCAGAAGGGGCAAUCGGAAUUCUUGGUGUAGCGGUGAAAUGCGUAGAUAUCAAGAGGAACACCUGAGGUGAAGACGGGUUGCUGGGCUGACACUGACGCUGAGGCGCGAAAGCCAGGGGAGCAAACGGGAUUAGAUACCCGAUGUAGUCCCUGAGCGGGCUGGCAAGGCG
Molecule: ribosomal RNA, 470 nt
Filed under: uncultured bacterium
Lineage: Bacteria
Description: bacterial SSU rRNA
Rfam family: Bacterial small subunit ribosomal RNA
Source: RNAcentral